RNAcentral lists this ribosomal RNA (254 nucleotides) under uncultured bacterium. RNAcentral describes it as "partial 16S ribosomal RNA". It matches the Rfam family "Bacterial small subunit ribosomal RNA", at positions 524 to 776 of the family's 1533-position model. The record is from RNAcentral.
GACGUAGGGUCCAAGCGUUGUCCGGAUUUACUGGGCGUAAAGAGCGCGUAGGCGGUCUUGUAAGUGUGAAGUGAAAUCUCCAGGGCUCAACCCGGAAACUGCUUUGCAUACUGCAGGACUAGAGGGAUGCAGAGGUUUGUGGAAUUCCUGGUGUAGCGGUGAAAUGCGUUGAUAUCAGGAGGAACACCAGUGGCGAAGGCGACUUCCUGGCCUGUUCUUGACGCUGAGGCGCGAAAGCUAGGGGAGCAAACGGG